RNAcentral lists this ribosomal RNA (907 nucleotides) under uncultured Bacillota bacterium. RNAcentral describes it as "bacterial SSU rRNA". It matches the Rfam family "Bacterial small subunit ribosomal RNA", at positions 1 to 917 of the family's 1533-position model. The record is from RNAcentral. Lineage: Bacteria; Bacillati; Bacillota.
UUGGAUCCAGACUUUGAUUCUGGCUCAGGACGAACGCUGGCGGCGUGCCUAACACAUGCAAGUCGAACGGAGAUAUUUAUUUCGGUAGAUAUCUUAGUGGCGCACGGGUGAGUAACGCGUGAAUAACCUGACCCGAAGAGGGGGAUAACACCUGGAAACAAGUGCUAAUACCGCAUAAGACCACGGACCGGCAUCGGUCAGAGGUCAAAGGAGGAAUCCGCUUUGGGAGGGGUUCGCGUCCCAUUAGGUAGUUGGUGAGGUAACGGCCCACCAAGCCGACGAUGGGUAGCCGAGCUGAGAGGCUGAUCGGCCACACUGGGACUGAGACACGGUCCAGACUCCUACGGGAGGCAGCAGUGGGGAAUAUUGGGCAAUGGGCGCAAGCCUGACCCAGCAACGCCGCGUGAGGGAAGAAGGUUUUCGGAUUGUAAACCUCUGUCGCAGGGGACGAAGGAAGUGACGGUACCCUGUAAGAAAGCCCCGGCUAACUACGUGCCAGCAGCCGCGGUAAUACGUAGGGGGCGAGCGUUGUCCGGAAUUACUGGGCGUAAAGGGAGCGUAGGCGGUCGAUUAAGUUAGAUGUGAAACCCCCGGGCUUAACUUGGGGACUGCAUCUAAUACUGGUUGACUUAGAGUACAAGAGAGGGAAGCGGAAUUCCUAGUGUAGCGGUGAAAUGCGUAGAUAUUAGGAGGAACUCCAGUGGCGAAGGCGGCUUUCUGGACUGACACUGACGCUGAGGCUCGAAAGCGUGGGGAGCAAACAGGAUUAGAUACCCUGGUAGUCCACGCUGUAAACGAUGAAUACUAGGUGUAGGGGGUAUCAACUCCCUCUGUGCCGCAGCAAACGCAAUAAGUAUUCCGCCUGGGGAGUACGGCCGCAAGGUUGCAACUCAAAGGAAUUGACGGA